CUACGGGUGGCAGCAGUGGGGAAUAUUGCACAAUGGGCGCAAGCCUGAUGCAGCCAUGCCGCGUGUGUGAAGAAGGCCUUCGGGUUGUAAAGCACUUUCAGCGGGGAGGAAGGCGUUAAGGUUAAUAACCUUGUCGAUUGACGUUACCCGCAGAAGAAGCACCGGCUAACUCCGUGCCAGCAGCCGCGGUAAUACGGAGGGUGCAAGCGUUAAUCGGAAUUACUGGACGUAAAGCGCACGCAGGCGGUCUGUCAAGUCGGAUGUGAAAUCCCCGGGCUCAACCUGGGAACUGCAUUCGAAACUGGCAGGCUAGAGUCUUGUAGAGGGGGGUAGAAUUCCGGGUGUAGCGGUGAAAUGCGUAGAGAUCUGGAGGAAUACCGGUGGCGAAGGCGGCCCCCUGGACAAAGACUGACGCUCAGGUGCGAAAGCGUGGGGAGCAAACAGGAUUAGAUACCCGUGUAGUC
RNAcentral lists this ribosomal RNA (464 nucleotides) under uncultured Klebsiella sp. RNAcentral describes it as "bacterial SSU rRNA". It matches the Rfam family "Bacterial small subunit ribosomal RNA", at positions 339 to 795 of the family's 1533-position model. Lineage: Bacteria; Pseudomonadati; Pseudomonadota; Gammaproteobacteria; Enterobacterales; Enterobacteriaceae. The record is from RNAcentral.